Molecule: non-coding RNA, 442 nt
Organism: Schizosaccharomyces pombe (fission yeast)
Lineage: Eukaryota; Fungi; Ascomycota; Schizosaccharomycetes; Schizosaccharomycetales; Schizosaccharomycetaceae
Source: the annotation of a GenBank genome assembly
GUUCCGCUGGAUUUAUACUUUAUUGAAGCAUCACUGGAAACAUUAAGAUGAGAUUCGAUGGUGACUGCACCAAGAUCUUCGGAUGAAGAAGAGUACUUAACCGAUAGCUUAAAAUCAUCAGGAGAAGGAAUUGAAGACUUGCCAGAUGAUUUUCCUGGCUGCCGAUUCGAAUUCAAGAGCAAAAAUAGAAAAUCCCGUUUCAAUUUCUUUUCCAAAGGAGAGAUCACAGAAAGUUGUGUCCGUGGAGCUUCGUCAGCCUCUUCUGUAGGCUUAUUUAUGCUGUCAUCUUCUUCCAGUUCAGCAUCCAAGUCUUCUACAACAAUUGUGUACUCAUUUUUGUAGUAAGCUACACGCUUGCAGGUUGGCAUUUCAAUAUCAGAAUCUGCACCGACUGUUAAUAUAUUGACAUGGAAUAAAGGAUAUUGUAAGAGAAUUCGCUUUC